UGAUACCCUACUGGCUAUUCAGACCUCUGC
This 30-nucleotide non-coding RNA is filed under the name Rattus norvegicus (Norway rat). The record is from RNAcentral. Lineage: Eukaryota; Metazoa; Chordata; Mammalia; Rodentia; Muridae.